This 505-nucleotide ribosomal RNA is filed under the name uncultured bacterium. RNAcentral's name for it is "partial 16S ribosomal RNA". It matches the Rfam family "Bacterial small subunit ribosomal RNA", at positions 28 to 507 of the family's 1533-position model. The record is from RNAcentral.
GACGAACGCUGGCGGCGUGCCUAAUACAUGCAAGUAGAACGCACAGUUUAUACCGUAGCUUGCUACACCAUAGACUGUGAGUUGCGAACGGGUGAGUAACGCGUAGGUAACCUGCCUGGUAGCGGGGGAUAACUAUUGGAAACGAUAGCUAAUACCGCAUAAUAUUGAUUAUUGCAUGAUAAUUGAUUGAAAGAUGCUAUUGCAUCACUACCAGAUGGACCUGCGUUGUAUUAGCUAGUAGGUGAGGUAACGGCUCACCUAGGCGACGAUACAUAGCCGACCUGGGAGGGUGAUCGGCCAAACUGGGACUGAGACACGGCCCAGACUCCUACGGGAGGCAGCAGUAGGGAAUCUUCGGCAAUGGACGAAAGUCUGACCGAGCAACGCCGCGUGAGUGAAGAAGGUUCUCGGAUCGUAAAGCUCUGUUGUAAGAGAAGAACGGGUGUGAGAGUGGAAAGUUCACACUGUGACGGUAUCUUACCAGAAAGGGACGGCUAACUACGUG